AUUGAACGCUGGCGGCAGGCCUAACACAUACAAGUCGAGCGGAUGAAGGGAGCUUGCUCCUGGAUUCAGCGGCGGACGGGUGAGUAAUGCCUAGGAAUCUGCCUGGUAGUGGGGGAUAACGUCCGGAAACGGGCGCUAAUACCGCAUACGUCCUGAGGGGGAAAGUGGGGGAUCUUCGGACCUCACGCUAUCAGAUGAGCCUAGGUCGGAUUAGCUAGUUGGUGGGGUAAAGGCCUACCAAGGCGACGAUCCGUAACUGGUCUGAGAGGAUGAUCAGUCACACUGGAACUGAGACACGGUCCAGACUCCUACGGGAGGCAGCAGUGGGGAAUAUUGGACAAUGGGCGAAAGCCUGAUCCAGCCAUGCCGCGUGUGUGAAGAAGGUCUUCGGAUUGUAAAGCACUUUAAGUUGGGAGGAAGGGCAGUAAGUUAAUACCUUGCUGUUUUGACGUUACCAACAGAAUAAGCACCGGCUAACUUCGUG
RNAcentral lists this ribosomal RNA (484 nucleotides) under uncultured bacterium. RNAcentral's name for it is "partial 16S ribosomal RNA". It matches the Rfam family "Bacterial small subunit ribosomal RNA", at positions 30 to 507 of the family's 1533-position model. The record is from RNAcentral.